UUUGUGGAUGCAAAUUUCCACCUUCUUCUUCUUGGAUGAAAAUGCACCUAUAAAACAAUCAACGCCUAAGAUCAAGGCCAAGAGCCUCACGCACCCAUGAUGAAUGGGGGGUUUUGGCCGAAAAAUCUCCGAUGCCAAAGUUAGAAUUUGAGAGAAAGUGUUUAGAGAAUUUUUUUUAAGAGAAUUGGACUUAGGUUUUUGGAGAAAAUGAGGGGCUAUAUAUAGGGGUGUGGCCGACCCUAUUAGGAGGAUUAGGACCGGCCACAUAUGGUUGAUUUGUGGGAUUGAUUGCAAGAUAUUAUGUG
RNAcentral lists this long non-coding RNA (305 nucleotides) under Malus domestica (apple). Its description in RNAcentral is "long non-coding RNA (MDOM_LNC012883)". The record is from RNAcentral. Lineage: Eukaryota; Viridiplantae; Streptophyta; Magnoliopsida; Rosales; Rosaceae.